Molecule: microRNA precursor, 78 nt
Filed under: Capra hircus (goat)
Lineage: Eukaryota; Metazoa; Chordata; Mammalia; Artiodactyla; Bovidae
Also listed under: 2 other names
Description: microRNA 132 (ENSCHIG00000009450.1)
Rfam family: mir-132 microRNA precursor family (bases 13-78)
Source: RNAcentral
CCGCCCCCGCGUCUCCAGGGCAACCGUGGCUUUCGAUUGUUACUGUGGGAACCGGAGGUAACAGUCUACAGCCAUGGU